Molecule: unclassified non-coding RNA, 391 nt
Filed under: soil metagenome
Description: partial contains 5.8S ribosomal RNA, internal transcribed spacer 2, and large subunit ribosomal RNA
Rfam family: 5.8S ribosomal RNA (bases 1-122)
Source: RNAcentral
GAUGAAGAACGUAGCGAAAUGCGAUACUUGGUGUGAAUUGCAGAAUCCCGUGAACCAUCGAGUCUUUGAACGCAAGUUGCGCCCGAAGCCACUAGGCCGAGGGCACGCCUGCCUGGGCGUCACACGCCGUUGCCCCCCCAUCUACUCCUUCGGGAUUGCGGGGGGCGGAUGAUGGCCUCUCGUGCGCCUCGUCGCGCGGUUGGCCUAAAUGCCAAGUCCUCGGCGACGCACGCCACGACAAUCGGUGGUUGCGAAACCUCGGUUGCCUGUCGUGUGCGGUCGUCGCGCAUCGAGGGCUCGAAAAAAUUGCCGGGCUUCGGCUCGACUUUCAACGCGACCCCAGGUCAGGCGGGGUUACCCGCUGAAUUUAAGCAUAUCAAUAAGCGGAGGA